AGAGCGAACGCUGGCGGCGUGCUUAACGACAUGCAAGUCGAACGCGCAGCAUUCUGUAGCAAUACAGGGUGUGGGCGCGUGGCGAACGGGUGCGUAACACGUGGAUAACCUUCCUUCAGGUGGGGAAUAACCCAGUGAAAAUUGGGCUAAUACCGCAUAACAAAACGAUGAGACAUCUUGUUGUUUUCAAAGGCGCAAGUCGCCAGAAGAGGGAUCCGCGGCCGAUUAGCUUGUUGGCGAGGUAAUGGCUCACCAAGGCAAUGAUCGGUAGCCGGACUGAGAGGUUGGCCGGCCACACUGGAACUGAGACACGGUCCAGACUCCUACGGGAGGCAGCAGUGGGGAAUCUUGCACAAUGGGCGAAAGCCUGAUGCAGCAACGCCGCGUGGGGAUGAAGCUUCUCGGAGUGUAACCCUUUCGACCCGGAAGAAAGCCCGCGAAGGGUUUGACGGUACGGGUAUAAGAAGCCCGGCUAACUACGUGCCAGCAGCCGCGGUAA
Molecule: ribosomal RNA, 499 nt
Filed under: uncultured bacterium
Lineage: Bacteria
Description: SSU rRNA
Rfam family: Bacterial small subunit ribosomal RNA
Source: RNAcentral